GAUGAACGCUGGCGGCGUGCCUAAUACAUGCAAGUCGAGCGAACAGAUAAGGAGCUUGCUCCUUUGACGUUAGCGGCGGACGGGUGAGUAACACGUGGGUAACCUACCUAUAAGACUGGGAUAACUUCGGGAAACCGGAGCUAAUACCGGAUAACAUUUGGAACCGCAUGGUUCUAAAGUGAAAGAUGGUUUUGCUAUCACUUAUAGAUGGACCCGCGCCGUAUUAGCUAGUUGGUAAGGUAACGGCUUACCAAGGCGACGAUACGUAGCCGACCUGAGAGGGUGAUCGGCCACACUGGAACUGAGACACGGUCCAGACUCCUACGGGAGGCAGCAGUAGGGAAUCUUCCGCAAUGGGCGAAAGCCUGGCGGAGCAACGCCGCGUGAGUGAUGAAGGGUUUCGGCUCGUAAAACUCUGUUAUUAGGGAAGAACAAAUGUGUAAGUAACUGUGCACGUCUUGACGGUACCUAAUCAGAAAGCCACGGCUAACUACGUGCCAGCAGCCGCGGUAAUACGUAGGUGGCAAGCGUUAUCCGGAAUUAUUGGGCGUAAAGCGCGCGUAGGCGGUUUCUUAAGUCUGAUGUGAAAGCCCACGGCUCAACCGUGGAGGGUCAUUGGAAACUGGGAAACUUGAGUGCAGAAGAGGAAAGUGGAAUUCCAUGUGUAGCGGUGAAAUGCGCAGAGAUAUGGAGGAACACCAGUGGCGAAGGCGACUUUCUGGUCUGUAACUGACGCUGAUGUGCGAAAGCGUGGGGAUCAAACAGGAUUAGAUACCCUGGUAGUCCACGCCGUAAACGAUGAGUGCUAAGUGUUAGGGGGUUUCCGCCCCUUAGUGCUGCAGCUAACGCAUUAAGCACUCCGCCUGGGGAGUACGACCGCAAGGUUGAAACUCAAAGGAAUUGACGGGGACCCGCACAAGCGGUGGAGCAUGUGGUUUAAUUCGAAGCAACGCGAAGAACCUUACCAAAUCUUGACAUCCUUUGAAAACUCUAGAGAUAGAGCCUUCCCCUUCGGGGGACAAAGUGACAGGUGGUGCAUGGUUGUCGUCAGCUCGUGUCGUGAGAUGUUGGGUUAAGUCCCGCAACGAGCGCAACCCUUAAGCUUAGUUGCCAUCAUUAAGUUGGGCACUCUAGGUUGACUGCCGGUGACAAACCGGAGGAAGGUGGGGAUGACGUCAAAUCAUCAUGCCCCUUAUGAUUUGGGCUACACACGUGCUACAAUGGACAAUACAAAGGGCAGCUAAACCGCGAGGUCAUGCAAAUCCCAUAAAGUUGUUCUCAGUUCGGAUUGUAGUCUGCAACUCGACUACAUGAAGCUGGAAUCGCUAGUAAUCGUAGAUCAGCAUGCUACGGUGAAUACGUUCCCGGGUCU
RNAcentral lists this ribosomal RNA (1372 nucleotides) under uncultured bacterium. RNAcentral describes it as "bacterial SSU rRNA". It matches the Rfam family "Bacterial small subunit ribosomal RNA", at positions 28 to 1381 of the family's 1533-position model. The record is from RNAcentral.